This 468-nucleotide ribosomal RNA is filed under the name uncultured bacterium. RNAcentral's name for it is "partial 16S ribosomal RNA". It matches the Rfam family "Bacterial small subunit ribosomal RNA", at positions 28 to 507 of the family's 1533-position model. The record is from RNAcentral.
GACGAACGCUGGCGGCGUGCUUAACACAUGCAAGUCGAACGGAAAGGCCCUGCUUUUGUGGGGUGCUCGAGUGGCGAACGGGUGAGUAACACGUGAGUAACCUGCCCUUGACUUUGGGAUAACUUCAGGAAACUGGGGCUAAUACCGGAUAGGAGCUCCUGCUGCUUGGUGGGGGUUGGAAAGUUUCGGCGGUUGGGGAUGGACUCGCGGCUUAUCAGCUUGUUGGUGGGGUAGUGGCUUACCAAGGCUUUGACGGGUAGCCGGCCUGAGAGGGUGACCGGCCCCAUUAGGACGGAGAUACGGCCCAGACUCAUACGGGACGCAGCGGUGGGGAAUAGUGCACAAUGGGCGGAAGCCUGAUGUAGCAACGCCGCGUGCGGGAUAACGGCCUUCGGGUUGUAAUCCGCUUUCGCCUGUGACGAAGCGUGAGUGACGGUAAUGGGUAAAGAAGCACCGGCUAACUACGUG